This 1904-nucleotide long non-coding RNA is filed under the name Nicotiana tabacum (common tobacco). RNAcentral's name for it is "long non-coding RNA (NTAB_LNC008079)". Lineage: Eukaryota; Viridiplantae; Streptophyta; Magnoliopsida; Solanales; Solanaceae. The record is from RNAcentral.
AAAUGACUAAACCAUGAUAUUUCAACAACCAACGUUAACAUGAUAUUCAAAUUAACAAUCUUAAAUAUGAAAGAAACUACAGAAAUCAACUACUGAUCCAACUAAUUGAACAGUUUAUGAAAAAUAAACUAGUCUACAUCCUAAUAUAUGAAAUUCUUCCUAAAUCAUUGUCCAUUCAACAGAUUACAUAGUAACCAAAAUAAACUGAAAGUACAUAGACUAAGAAUAGACAUAGAAAUUCAAGAAAACACAUGUAUGAGGAACUAAAAGUCCAUGAUUCAUUCAUUGAAGUUCUCACUACAAUUACAUAUAUCAAAGUACUUCUAUACUUCAGCAGUCAUCAUAGGCCAAGAGAAUACCUGGAGAGCAAGAGCAAAAUGAUGAGAAUACAAGGAAAUUCUAUGAAGCAAGCAAGCAAAGAAGCAGCAAAUGACCAACUAGCAAACAGCUUCAGCUCAAACCCAUAUUGGAAUCAGAAAUCCAGAAAAAGAACUUAGGAAUGUGUUUGUUUCUUUCAGGAAGGAAAAUCAAAAGUGAAAAAACCAUUCAACUCUCUCACACAAUGCAAAAAUUUUGUAUAUUUUCUAUGGGUUCCAAUGUCUGCCUAAAAAUGGAGGAAAAGAGUCCUUAAAUAGGCACUUCUAAGGCAGCCCUAGCCUGGUUUUCUAAUUCCCCUUCUACCCCUUAUUUUCUUAAUUAUUUACCCCUUAACCCCUCCUUAUCCCUUAACAAACUAGCCUAACCUUAUCCUCUAGAAGCUUCCCAUAACAGAAAAUAUCCCCCCCCCCCCUCCCCCGCAAUUUACUUUUCAAUACAGACCCAAGACCCAAAGGAAACCUACAGGCCAGCAACCCAAGAGAGGCUCAAGCAACAACAUCUAAUGGAUUUAACCAAAGUGAAACCUUAAGAAACUGAUUUAAUAAAUAAACGAGAUUAAAUUUUAAAAAAAUGCAAAUUGUGACUGGCCUUAAACUAAAACAUGCUAAAAAAGUAUUAAUAAUUAACUAAUUUAAACAACAAACGAAAUGAAAGCAACAUGCUUGAUGAAUGCCCUAAACUUAAGAAAUUAUCAUAAACAUGAAUAACGCCUAAUUUGAUUCAAACAACUGGAUAACAACAACUACAUGGAGCAUAUAAAUAACCUAAACAAUUUUAGAUGAACAGAUGUUUAGAAUUGAAAGAAGAAGUUAGAAAAUAAACAAAGAAAAUAUAUAAAUAAAACAAAGAGAAGAACUGAGUUACUGGCUAAGCACUAGAAAACUCUAUUAAUCCAUAGAUUAUGACUGCCCUAAUUCUUUUAUUAUUUUUUCGGUCAAGAGAAAAGGGAUAUAAAGAAGCAAAUUAAAGAAAGGUGGAAGAAAAGAAAGGGUAAUAGGAGGAGAAAUCACAGAAAUAGAUAGAGAGAAAAACAAAAGGAAAUACCUAGCGAUUGACUUAAAGAACUCUGGCUGCUCCGAUUUAAGCCCAAAAUUAAUGUUAAUCGCAUGUUCUUUGUUAAGAACAAACGACCAACAUCAACUUCACGCUAAAUCAUCCCUAGAACUUGAAGGCUUGAGGCUUAACCUUGCAUGCCACAGAUCCGAAGUCGGGUGGAUUCGGUCGAGCAUUUGGGAAAACUGUUGAGGGGCUUGAGUUUAUAGGUGUGUGAUGAUUAUACGGUGUGAUUUUGGGUGGAUUUGUAGAGUUAGGUUUUUGGAGAUUCUGAUUUUAGAUCCAAGAUUUAAGAAGUUUGAGGGGGAUUUGGGGAAGAAGACCAUGAGAUUUGAAAAGAGGAAGGUGAGGAGAUCUUGUGGUGUUAAUUUGAAGGGGAUUGGAGUGGUCUGGGGCGUCGCCGCCGGCGGAGACGGUGGGGGUUUUUAGGGCGGCGGUCUCUAUGGUUAGAUGAGGGAGAUGAAGGUUAGGGC